Molecule: long non-coding RNA, 7859 nt
Organism: Monomorium pharaonis (pharaoh ant)
Lineage: Eukaryota; Metazoa; Arthropoda; Insecta; Hymenoptera; Formicidae
Exons: 2
Source: RefSeq, a predicted model, not a curated record
UCUCUCUCUCUCUCCUCUCUCUCUCUCUCUCUCUCUCUCUCUCUCUCUCGUCUCCGGGGCGUGUUUCUUCGCCGUGGCGAUUACUCCGCCGCCAAUUUAUUUACGGCAACUACUCCAGCGCGGUAAUCACUCAUUCAAUUACCAUCACCUAUCGGCUUUAUGGUUUUUCCGGGAAGGCGUAUCAACGCUCUCGUUCUUUGAGACACAAACGAGCCGCCGGGAACAGCUUCGCGCCUCCGCUUUCAUCUUCCGCCUAAGAUUCAUCAUCGGCUGUACUACUCUCGCUGCCAACGAUGUUCCGCGAACGAUGUUAUCGCGAUCGCGUAUUCUACACGCGAUAUUAAAUACGCCGACGUGUACGCGAUUUAAUAGAUAUACGGAUUACAUGUGCAAUUUUAUAUUCAUGUCUCUCACAGCAAAUACAAUCUGCGUUUAAUAGGGCGCGGGGGGGGGGGGGGUUAGCGGAUGCGAAAAAUGGGUGGGAAACAAUCUUUUUGGUGGGAAAUUAAAGGGCAGGGUAAUUGAUCUCGUGGGGAAUCGAUAUUAUAAAUCGCGUUGCGCAAUAAUAUUAUAGUACCUCCUCCUUCUCUUCGUUUCUUUGUUUAUCAUUACUUAGCGCAAUCUCUACUUCGCACUAUCUUAGAUCUCCGAUCCCGACGCAGCUUUAAUAAAUACAACUCUGACGUUUCGAACGUUCACCUCACUGUCAUUCCCUUGAGUAAUUUCUUCCUGUUGAUCGUAGAUAAAGAAGCGAUCGGUUCAUACGGAACCAGCAGGUUGCCAGCCCGUGUUUUGACCGGGUUGAUAGUCACCAGAUAACCAGCUAGAAUGAGACGUUACAAUGAUAGGCCGCUCGAAGCCACGGGGGAACGAGCUAUGAAUGCGCGUAUUAUGACUAAAGUUUCUGUUUCUGUCCGAUGUCGGAUAUGUCUUGUCUACUGAACGACGCGUACGACGCGAGUUCGAUAUUGAAGUUGUAAUAAAAAGGACACGCAUUCUAAAUGUUUUGCCAGUUCUGGAAAUUUUGCAAAGUUUAAACUAUAUUUAUUGUCGCAAUAAAAUACCUCUGAAAGCUAUAAACAGCUAAAACACGAACUAUACUGAAUUGAAGGCGAGGAUAUAAAAAAAUAGAUGAGCACGAACUUAUCUUGAUAUUUAAAAUACAAGAUAACAUAAUACAAAUUAAAACACCAUCAAGGUGCGAAAUAAGUAACUGUCAUAUAUUUAACAGGGUUGCAAUUACUUUUUUUUAGUAACGGACUGAUAAUGGAGUUACUUUUCUUAUGUAGUAACUAUAAUGGUAACAAAUUUAACAAUUACUUUUAUCGUUGCUUUAUACGUUUUAAAUCCACCUAUUUGUGACUAUUGUGUAUUGAAUUCUCAAUUCUGUUCUCAGCUGAUAUUCUGUUAUUAUGUUAAACCAUUUUAAUAUAUAGUUUAGUAUAGUUACAAAAAAUUAUAUAAACUAAUUAUAUUGCAGCAUAUGUUUUAUGAGCAAUUCUGAGUUUAAAAUUAACAUGUUGGAAUUUUUAAAUACAAAACGCAGAAAAGUACAAAUUUCGCUGUAUUUAAUAAAUUAAAUAAAAAGUUUUAAUUUGCAUUUUGUAAAAUAAAAAUUUACAACUCUCUAAACUUUUUGUAGUCUUUCGCAAAUUUAAGAUAAAACCAGUAAUAUUGUUGCCGUAAAUAUUUUAUUAAAUAUAAAAUAUUAAAACAGUAAAUUUUACGUUUAAUUUGUUUUUGUUUUAGCGCUAAAAGAAGUAAUGAAGAAAGUAGUUAAAAUUCCUUUUAAAAAGUAACAUUCUCAACCCUGAAAUUCUUUUCAGGCUCUGUUUUGUGCUGGCAAAUCUCGCAAUUUUCGCGUUUAAAUUAAAAGCACAUGGAGAGGCGUGUCGCAAGGUAGAUUAGGCGCAAAGAUGUAUGCGCGAUAUAAACGCGAACGAAUAUUUUCGUGCACAAUGCGCGCUUUCGCGCAUUCGUCAUGCCGCGGUAGUUACGCUCACGCCUUCAGCCCGCAUGACGAGGAUGAGCAGCGCGACGGUCAUAGAUCACCCGUGCAUUUAAUAGCAUCAAGAUUCUCGGUAACUCGGCGAAUUUCAAUUUCUCGAGCUACUUUCGCGCGACUGCCAACCCAAAGUCCAUUCCCAGCCAUCGCGGGCGCGCAUCGCUGAUUUUCGUAGAUAUCAUCAAACAGCGUCGCCGCCGCCGCCGCGGCGAUACGUAAAUUACAGCUCAUUUCUGGCAGGCCGGUCAUGCGAACGAAGUAGCAGCAGUAGUAGUAGUAGUAGUAGUAGUAGUAGUAGCCGGCUUACGCUUCCCCGCUGUCGCCCCACGGACACCGUCCUCUCCUCCAAGAGCGCGUUUCACGCAUUAAUGUCGCGGCACACGCACGCACGCUGGAUGGAUCCUAGCGGGGCACAGCUCGUCCAUUUCCUGCUAAUUAAAUUAGCGUAUCGGCCACCGUCCAGUGUCGUGAGCGACCCGAGAGCCGCGUUUCUCUCUCGUGAGUUUAACGACCCCGUCCUUCUGCUCCCUCCGCCGCCCCUCUCUUCGUCUUCAUCAGUCGACGCCGCCAAUUCCCAGGAGUCUCGUAUCGGUCGCGACCGUUGUUCUCAUUAGGAUAAAACAUACGAGUCGAGGCGGUUAACCGAAUUACCCGACUCGCGUUACCUCGGACUGGGUACCCGCGAACAUCCCGGGGCAUUCGAGCGCAUCGGCACAUAUUUCGAAUCAUCGAGGAAUUAUUAAAGAUUUUUUUUUUUUUACACAACAUUUUUCCGAAUUAUUCGGAACCCUCUGCAUAGCAAUUGUACAUUAAUUUCCAGGAUAUUCAAAGCAUACCAGAUUUAUCUCACGCCGACUUUAUAACAUAAUAAAAAUAUAUCUUCAGGUUUCCAACGACUUAUCAAACAAGGUCAUCAUGCAACGUGAAACAUAAAACGUUGCCGAGGAGAAUUAAUAUAAGAAACAGGUUGUAGCUGCAAAUUAUGCAGCGGAGGGUAAAUAUGAUGAAAAUCUUAAUAGUGUCCCGUAGCUAUUCGCACAAUAUUUCUGAAUAGAAAUGCGUGUAUUUAAAUGAAGUAGGACAUUGCAUAUUGAUUAAAAACUCGUGAAUUCUGAUCUCUGCCAGAAUAGAUUGAUGCCCGUUAGGGUACGCAUAUAUACAUAAAAUGGAAUUUAUUAAAAUUACAUGUAUCCGAGUUGUUAAUCCAAUCAAUGUAUUCGGCUAUAAUCAUGAUGUAACGUUAAUAACGAUAUUUUCCCUCUGUCUAUCCCUCUCUCUCUCUCUCUCCUCAUUCUAACACCACAAUCUCGCGCGUAGCCACUCGAAACUGUUCAGAAAUUUUCCACGGCGCAAUUGCACUGCCUACCUUCGAGCGAUAUACUUCUCGCCGCGCGAUUAAGACCCGUAGCUGAUUAAAGCGGCAAAAUCCUCUCGUAUCGUUCGCGGAAUAUACGCAAAAGCGAUCAUUAGCGUCGAUGGGCAUAUCGAUUAUGCGCGAUCGGAAUCUCGGUGCGGUGAGCGCGGAGGCACUCGAACGGUGGCGAACGUUGCGAUUGGUAUGUGCUCAUCUAAUUACGAACGGUAUAAACGGGCGAGCCGUACGAUACGUCGUCGACGGACACAUCACCGCCGCUGCCCAGAGGCGGACAAUUGGAAGGAUUGUUUCCAAGAAGGCUUCGUGUACGUAAUUGCCGAGGCGUGCGCGUUUACGAGGCGUACACGCGCGCGCGCGCGCGCGAGACAUCGUACGGGAGCGAUCGGUAAUGAGGAAACGAUUAAAAUAAUCAACAUAGCGAGCCAUUAAAGUAUUACGGAGAUCGCUCGUAUCGCGCAAAUUGGAUAUAGACAUAUCGCGGACGCAUGCAUGAAAAACCCGGAACCGACGAUCUCUUUCCAUCCGCAUUAUAUUACCUGUGCUAAUAAUUUCUUCACGCAACUGCCUUCUCGGAUCUGUAUACGAAAGUAACUGAAAACAAAGGUUAUAAUAAUCCAGCUUUGAUCAAAGUUAUCCAAAAUCUUAGUGAAAUAGAUUCAACUGAACGUAAGGUUUAUAAUUAUUAUCGUUACUGCAUUUGUUCAUUAGCAACUAAAUAUUUUAAAUAAUAUCAUUGUGUCACUAAAUCCACCUCACGGCAUUAUCAAGGAUUUUUUUCAAUGUAUUUGAAGAAAAUAAACACAAGUUAAAAAACGCAUUGAUUUUUAUUUACGGCACAAAUUACGGUUAUGGAUAUUGGUACAGAUUUUCGGCCGAUCGUUUCGUUCCGCUCUAACGUUACGAAAUUUGAUAUUCAUUGGAAAUUGAAUAUUCAUCGACAGCUCGAGAGCCGCGGUAAGAUAUAGUUUGUUCAAGUGGUACGUAGCAUGUAUAUUAUAAGAACGAAUAACAUUUCUGUAAAAUGUAUAAUUUGUGUUAAAAGAUAACGUGAUGCAAAUUGCGCAAAUUCGUGGUUUAUUUCGAUGAAUUGUUGUAAGAGGAAAAUUUCUCUUUUCGAUAUAUGAGUUUCAUCAAGUUUUUACGAUGAUGCACCACGACUUUCGAAUUACAAUUCACGUAGUCCCAUACUGGAACGACGUUAUCCAAGGUCAGGAUCGGCAUGAAUUACGUUUACAAAGCGUCACCGGUAGCGUUGUAUACGUAAUGGCACUUUGUCAGUUAUACGCCGGAAGUUACCAACUAAGGAAAACUCGGCGCAUUAGUUGAAUGUAAUGGGACGAGGCAACGAUAUAUUUAUGGCAACGUCGCGCGAGGCGAGUGAAUACGUGUCUCGAUUUCGACAUAAGCCAUCGAUCGUUUCAACAGCUGCACCAUCCUCCAGAGGCUGCAUUGCCCUUAUAAGAGCGCGGUGCGCUUCUUACCCGGGCGCUUAGAAUCUUAUAAUUGUGGCGCGAGAAAAAGGAAAAUGGAUCGCGCGCAAUCGCGGCGCGGGGAUAUUCCUGAAAGUUUAAGUAACCGCGGCGGCGAUAAAGGUAAUCGCGGUAUCGCCAAUUCAUCGACCUCUUCCGCGCAGCGGCAACAAUUUGCCCCGGCUCUCGCCGCGCGCCGCCCGUGAUUGCAGUCUGCAAUUAAGUUUUCCACACGCCCGUCGCACCCGGCAAUCAGGCGCCGCGCUUUAGAGAGUGCCUCUUGAGGACAUCCUAGAUUUAGCUAAUUCGUCCGUUAAUAACAUUCCAGCUCACCCGCGGUGCGCGCUAAUUACACACGUUCGCGAUAUAUACGAACACGUACGAACAAUACGAAGCACCAGAUUGCCGGGCAAUUAGCGAUGAUACCCGUGCGCGAUCGAGCGCAUGCUCGGAUGUGUGCGCGCAUCGCGAGAAAUCGCGCUAUCGAAUCGAACAUUAAUAAGAAGCUGUGUUCCCAUCGCCGCGAUCGCGCGUGAAUCAUCCUCUAUUCGCCGCGCGAUCGCACACACGAGCGCACGCACACCGCUCACCGUUUCCAGUAGAUUACCAGAAAUUUAUGAGAUCGAGCAUAUCGAAGGCAAGUAAGUCGUCGAAACUCGGCGCGCCGCGCGCGGACGAGAUUUAUGGGACUCUCUCGGCUGCUGCUGCUGCUGCUGCUGCUGCAACGGCUAACAUAAUGUAAUAUGCAUGCAUCACACCGUACCUGACGUACGUCCUUCUCAGUUAUUAAUUCCGACGGACUUCGCUUCGCCUCUUUCGCGUUCGUAUGCAAUGAGGGUUGCGCAAAAGUCAAUGCCUAUUAUACGCCGAUAAGAUUAAUAAACUAUGGCAUGAGUGCACUUGUCACGGAGCUGAUAGACGUCGGCCAGAGAGAGAGAGAUUAGAACGAAAAUUCCAAGCCGAGAUCCGCACGUGCAUGGUGUGCGUGCUGUGUGUGAUUGCAGAAGGUCUCGUGUGAAUUAUAAAGGCGAGAGAGGCGACAAAAUCGGCAGAGUUAAUCGUGCAUUCUCUCGUAAUGUAAAAUGACGAGAGGGUAAACAACCCGUCCGAAAAAUGAUCGAUGCAAAAGGAAAAAAAAAAGGAGAAUAUUCACGAGGCUGCGCUGCCUCGACCACGGAGCCUCCUCUGUACCUUCGGAUAAAAAAGCACCGCGCGCGCCAGGAUGACGCAAUAAAUGUCAUCUGCGCCUGUCGUUUUUCUCCGUCUUUCCGUUGGAAUCAUUCUUUUAUGCUCAUUGUCGCCGUCACUCCUUUCCCAGCGGGAACGAGGAGCGACAGUUAGCAUCGCCGCGCCCAGAUGUGGUACAAUGCACAUAGAUGUAAUAUACCACAGGCACUAGCCGAUCGUGAAUUAUUGAUGGCUUUAUCCAGGGGCUCUUGGAUGGUACCAGGUGGCCAAGUUCCGCCUUGUUCCGAGCGGAGGUGAAUCGACAGUCGAAGCGAGAUGGCGAAUAAACUCGCUCGCAGAGAGUGGUCGGAUGAGGCAACGGGAGAAAGGCAGAUCCGCGGAGAAGGACCGGAGAGAAAGAGAGAGAGAGAGAGAGGGAGUUGGUGUUUAGUUUACGGCGUGGCGAUGUUUGACUAAUGUUCCGCAAUUUCAGCUUUUGUUGUUGCCGGGCCCCAGAUCGCCCGCUGCGACUAUUGAAGAGGGGCAGAGAGCAGUGAGUCUGAUGGUUAACCGACCCUCGAAUUUUCGACUCCUCCGUAACCACUCCUGUCGGCGAUCCGACCAGCCGGGAUUGAGGUUUUACUUACAGCAUUUAACGGUUAUAUAUGGGCUUAUAUAUGGCACGGGUGGUAUAAUAGUUUCUUGUAACGCACUAUUGGCAUUCAACGCGCUGCUCGUCCACCCGGCGUUACUGGGGUGGAAUAAUUACGACGAUAAUAUCGCAACACCUCCCGGUACGACAUUCGCCUCUAAACCCGCGCUUGAAAGUGAGCACUGCCCUCACGAGUAAGUGCGCAAUAAAUUAUCCCGAUUGUAACGAAAACUGUCGCCCGUUCAGCCGAUAGCCAUGCACUUGCGCCGUUAUUGUUAAUUACAAGUAUAAGCGGCUCUAAUGCCUAUACGCACGGUGGGACUAAAAUCAACUGUCGCGUCGAUUACGUUUAUUGUGACGUGCCGCGAAAAUAAACUCAUGUAAACUUCAUUUCGCAAAAUCAAUAUUUUUUCAUCGUGCGCUUUGAACGGCUACUCGAUAUCCAAUUAACGGGCCAAUCAAUCCCGAGGGAAUGAGAACUAAUAGUUUAGCAUUACAACUGUAUCAGUGGACGGUGGAAUUGUCACACUAAAUCAUUCGAGAUAUUAAUAUUCCUAAGUCAAUUAAUGAUUCACAUUCGUUGCGCGCUUGUAAAUCGUGCACGCGGCCAUUUCCAGAUAUCCCCAUAGAAUAUAUGGGCACGAUGAAAUAAAUUGUUAUUUACUGUUAUUUAUAUAUCUCUUUCUCUCUUUCGAAUUUGCUGUACUUUUCCAGUAUUUGCUGUACUUUCGCGCCAAUAAAAUUAAACUCUGCCUCGCCACAGAGGCAAAAAUAACAUAUUCAUAAUAAUACGAGCACGUUAACGUGCACACUAUUCUUUUAUCGAAAAACCUCUCGUCGAGCAUCAAAAUUCGUAGGUAAAUAAAAUAAUAAAUAUACAAGGAAUUACGCAAUACGUGAUAUAUAUCACGUAUUGAAAGAGAAGACGACUAUUCCUAUUCCUUAUCAAUCGGAUAAGUUGUAUUUUCGAUACGUUCAUACAUUAGUCAUCAUAUGUUAGUUUUCCCGCAAGAUCUCACAUUUCUUGAUCUUCGACACUUCGUUCUUACAUGCCGAACGUUAAACGUCUUUAUAAUGAGGGGAAAAGAAUCGGUAAAUUGUGAUGCAAUGUGAACAUUUUAUCGAAAGGAAUAAAAAAAAGAGAAGGAGCAAAGAGAGAGAGAGAGAGAGAGAGAGAGAGAGAGAGAGGAG